GAUCCUGGCUCAGGAUGAACGCUGGCGGCGUGCCUAACACAUGCAAGUCGAACGAAGCACUUUGAUUUGAUUCUUCGGAUGAAGAUCAUUGUGACUGAGUGGCGGACGGGUGAGUAACGCGUGGGUAACCUGCCUCAUACAGGGGAAUAACAGUUAGAAAUGACUGCUAAUACCGCAUAAGACCACGGAGUCGCAUGACUCAGUGGGAAAAACUCAGGU
This 219-nucleotide ribosomal RNA is filed under the name uncultured bacterium. RNAcentral describes it as "partial 16S ribosomal RNA". It matches the Rfam family "Bacterial small subunit ribosomal RNA", at positions 15 to 215 of the family's 1533-position model. The record is from RNAcentral.